UGCUGGGAAUGAAGUUCUCCCUUCGCGCGCCGCGCGAGAACCGCCACAGGCUGAUGACUUCUGCGAU
This 67-nucleotide non-coding RNA is filed under the name human gut metagenome. Its description in RNAcentral is "Fluoride riboswitch". It matches the Rfam family "Fluoride riboswitch aptamer (crcB RNA motif)", at positions 10 to 61 of the family's 64-position model. The record is from RNAcentral.